GUUAUUAGCGGGCGGAAGCAAAGAGCCACAUGAUCUACACUUCUUCCUCUAAUCAUGACCUUCAAACGUCGGAAUGGUGACCGCAACAAGCAUGGCCGUGGCCAUGUCAAAUUCAUCCGCUGCUCUAACUGUGGCAAAUGUUGCCCCAAUGCAAUUUUCAUCUAUAAUUUAUGAUGGCUUUUCUUUUCCGUUUUUGAUUUGUUUUUUCAUUGUUUGGAAUAUUAAAGGAUAAGUCGAUCAAGAGAUUUCUUGUGAGGAACAUUGUCGAACAAGCUGCUGUUAGUGAUGUCCAGGAAGCCUGAGUCUAUGACUCGUACACUCUGCCUAAGCUGUAUGUGAAGAUGCAAUACUGUGUUUCAUGUGCGAUCCACUCUCAUGUCGUGAGAGUCCGAUCCCUUACUGACGGGAGGAACCGUGAUCCACUCCAGCGCUUCAUCAGGCGCAGGGUAUGUUUUUCUUUAUAACCCUUGAUUCAAUGCUUC
Molecule: long non-coding RNA, 482 nt
Organism: Hibiscus syriacus
Lineage: Eukaryota; Viridiplantae; Streptophyta; Magnoliopsida; Malvales; Malvaceae
Exons: 3
Source: RefSeq, a predicted model, not a curated record